UACAGAGACGUCGAGCGUUGUUCGGAUUCAUUGGGCGUAAAGGGUGCGUAGGCGGUGAGGUAAGUUGGAUGUGAAAUCUCAGGGCCUAACCCUGAAAGUGCAUCCAAAACUGCCUUGCUUGAGGACUGGAGGGGAGACUGGAAUUCUCGGUGUAGCAGUGAAAUGCGUAGAUAUCGAGAGGAACACCAGUGGCGAAGGCGAGUCCCUGGACAACACCUGACACUGAGGCACGAAAGCUAGGGGAGCAAACAGG
RNAcentral lists this ribosomal RNA (253 nucleotides) under uncultured bacterium. Its description in RNAcentral is "partial 16S ribosomal RNA". It matches the Rfam family "Bacterial small subunit ribosomal RNA", at positions 524 to 776 of the family's 1533-position model. The record is from RNAcentral.